CAUGUGGAGCGCUUAGAAGUGAGAAUGCCGGUGUGAGUAGCGAAAGACGGGUGAGAAUCCCGUCCACCGAUUGACUAAGGUUUCCAGAGGAAGGCUCGUCCGCUCUGGGUUAGUCGGGUCCUAAGCUGAGGCCGACAGGCGUAGGCGAUGGAUAACAGGUUGAUAUUCCUGUACCACCAUUAUUCGUUUUAAGCGAUGGGGGGACGCAGUAGGAUAGGCGAAGCGUGCUGUUGGAGUGCACGUCCAAGCAGUGAGAUUGAGUGUUAGGCAAAUCCGGCACUCUUAAGAUUGAGCUGUGAUGGGGAGAGGAACUUGUUCCUCGAGUCGUUGAUUUCACACUGCCGAGAAAAGCCUCUAGCUAGAAUAACGGUGCCCGUACCGCAAACCGACACAGGUAGUCAAGAUGAGAAUUCUAAGGUGAGCGAGCGAACUCUCGUUAAGGAACUCGGCAAAAUGACCCCGUAACUUCGGGAGAAGGGGUGCUCUUUGAGGUUCACGCUUCGAAGAGCCGCAGUGAAUAGGCCCAAGCGACUGUUUAUCAAAAACACAGGUCUCUGCUAAACCGUAAGGUGACGUAUAGGGGCUGACGCCUGCCCGGUGCUGGAAGGUUAAGAGGAGUGGUUAGCGCAAGCGAAGCUACGAAUCGAAGCCCCAGUAAACGGCGGCCGUAACUAUAACGGUCCUAAGGUAGCGAAAUUCCUUGUCGGGUAAGUUCCGACCCGCACGAAAGGCGUAACGAUUUGGGCACUGUCUCAACGAGAGACUCGGUGAAAUCAUAGUACCGGUGAAGAUGCCGGUUACCCGCGACAGGACGGAAAGACCCCGUGGAGCUUUACUGUAGCCUGAUAUUGAAAUUCGGUACAGUUUGUACAGGAUAGGUAGGAGCCUUAGAAGCGUGAGCGCUAGCUUACGUGGAGGCAUUGGUGGGAUACUACCCUAAUUGUAUUGGAUUUCUAACCCGCAGCACUUAUCGUGCUGGGAGACAGUGUCAGGCGGGCAGUUUGACUGGGGCGGUCGCCUCCUAAAGAGUAACGGAGGCGCUCAAAGGUUCCCUCAGAAUGGUUGGAAAUCAUUCAUAGAGUGUAAAGGCAUAAGGGAGCUUGACUGCGAGACCUACAAGUCGAGCAGGGUCGAAAGACGGACUUAGUGAUCCGGUGGUUCCGCAUGGAAGGGCCAUCGCUCAACGGAUAAAAGCUACCCCGGGGAUAACAGGCUUAUCUCCCCCAAGAGUUCACAUCGACGGGGAGGUUUGGCACCUCGAUGUCGGCUCAUCGCAUCCUGGGGCUGUAGUCGGUCCCAAGGGUUGGGCUGUUCGCCCAUUAAAGCGGUACGCGAGCUGGGUUCAGAACGUCGUGAGACAGUUCGGUCCCUAUCCGUCGUGGGCGUAGGAAAUUUGAGAGGAGCUGUCCUUAGUACGAGAGGACCGGGAUGGACAUACCUCUGGUGUACCAGUUGUCGUGCCAACGGCAUAGCUGGGUAGCUAUGUAUGGACGGGAUAAGUGCUGAAAGCAUCUAAGCAUGAAGCCCCCCUCGAGAUGAGAUUUCCCAACUUCGGUUAUAAGAUCCCUCAAAGAUGAUGAGGUGAAU
RNAcentral lists this ribosomal RNA (1587 nucleotides) under Staphylococcus pseudintermedius. RNAcentral describes it as "partial 23S ribosomal RNA". It matches the Rfam family "Bacterial large subunit ribosomal RNA", at positions 1270 to 2857 of the family's 2925-position model. The record is from RNAcentral. Lineage: Bacteria; Bacillati; Bacillota; Bacilli; Caryophanales; Staphylococcaceae.